This is a ribosomal RNA of Chrysochromulina sp., 110 nucleotides long. It matches the Rfam family "Eukaryotic large subunit ribosomal RNA", at positions 2875 to 2984 of the family's 3401-position model. NCBI's taxonomy places the organism in Eukaryota, Haptophyta, Prymnesiales, Chrysochromulinaceae. The record is from Rfam.
CCUUCGAUGUCGGCUCUUCCUGUCACUGCCUCGCAGCGGGGGCCAAAUGCAGGAUUGUUCACCCACCAAUAGGGAACGUGAGCUGGGUUUAGACCGUCGUGAGACAGGUU